This 1052-nucleotide ribosomal RNA is filed under the name uncultured fungus. RNAcentral's name for it is "eukaryotic LSU rRNA". The stretch from base 673 to 1052 matches the Rfam family "Eukaryotic large subunit ribosomal RNA", at positions 1 to 372 of the family's 3401-position model. Lineage: Eukaryota; Fungi. The record is from RNAcentral.
UCUUGGUCAUUUAGAGGAAGUAAAAGUCGUAACAAGGUUUCCGUAGGUGAACCUGCGGAAGGAUCAUUAUCGUACAACAGAGGUGCGAAGGCUGUCGCUGACCUUCAAGGGUCGUGCACGCCUGAGCGCUCUCACACAAAUCCAUCUCACCCUUUGUGCAUCACCGCGUGGGUCCCCCCUUUGCGGGGAGGGCUCGCGUUUUCACACAAAACUUGUUACAGUGUAGAAUGUUUAUUUUUGCUGUCACACGCAAUCAAUACAACUUUCAACAACGGAUCUCUUGGCUCUCGCAUCGAUGAAGAACGCAGCGAAAUGCGAUACGUAAUGUGAAUUGCAGAAUUCAGUGAAUCAUCGAAUCUUUGAACGCACCUUGCGCCCCUUGGCAUUCCGAGGGGCACACCCGUUUGAGUGUCGUGAAAUUCUCAAAACCCUUUUUCUUUAAAGGACUUUUGGACUUGGAGGUUUAAUGCUCGCCUUUGCCUUUGAAAGUGAGCUCCUCUCAAAUGGAUUAGUGGGGUCCGCUUUGUCGAUCCUUGACGUGAUAAGAUGUUUCUACGUUUUGGAUUUGGCACAGUCUCUUGGACGUCCGCUCCUAACUGUCUUUCGGACAAACGAUGGUGCUCCGGUCACCGCCAUCUCUACGUUGGUGGAAGGCUGGACCCACGAAAACCUUGACCUCAAAUCGGGUGAGACUACCCGCUGAACUUAAGCAUAUCAAUAAGCGGAGGAAAAGAAACUAACAAGGAUUCCCCUAGUAACUGCGAGUGAAGCGGGAAAAGCUCAAAUUUAAAAUCUGGUGGUCUUUGGCCAUCCGAGUUGUAAUUUAGAGAAGCGAUUUCCGCGCUGGACCGUGCACAAGUCUCCUGGGAUGGAGCGUCAUAGAGGGUGAGAAUCCCGUCUUUGGCACGGAUGCACCAGGGCUUUUGUGAUGCGCUCUCGAAGAGUCGAGUUGUUUGGGAAUGCAGCUCAAAAUGGGUGGUGAACUCCAUCUAAAGCUAAAUAUUGGCGAGAGACCGAUAGCGAACAAGUACCGUGAGGGAAAGAUGAAAAGC